Long non-coding RNA from Leguminivora glycinivorella, 1145 nucleotides. RefSeq lists it as uncharacterized. The record is from RefSeq and is a predicted model, not a curated record. NCBI's taxonomy places the organism in Eukaryota, Metazoa, Arthropoda, Insecta, Lepidoptera, Tortricidae. The transcript is spliced from 3 exons.
AGAUUUUUUGAUAGUCGUAAUUAAAUAUUUUGGAUAGAUUUAAUUUUUGAAUGAAACACUUCCUUCUCGUUCAUUGCAUUAUCUGUUGCACUUCAAAUGCACAUAUUUAUGUUUAUCUGUUGUAGGGUUGCCAUACAACAAGUAUUAUUCGAAAUUGUAGGUAUUUUGGCUGUCAUUCCAGGAAAACUUUGUAUAGUUUUGAUAUACUUUAAGUAUUGAUUUUUGGAAAAUAUAAUAUUUUAGAGACAUGAUAACAAAUGUUAUCAUAGGUUUUUUAAGGCUGUUCUGGAAUGAUAUUUGUUAGGUUUUGUUUACUUCAAGGUCUGAUACAGAAACUGGAGUAAUUUUCAUUUAAUGAAUUAGAGUAUUUUAUUGUUUAUUCGUUUGCCACCCGGCUUUUGUUUUGGGUCCUUUAAAUUCGAGAUCAUUCAGUGCGCCGUUCUUUCUGUGACGAGAUCCUCUUGUAUAGUGAUCGGACGGCCGUAUAAGGGCCUGGAGCCCGGCAUGCCACGUGCUGCCGUGGCGUUCCAUAUUUUGUGUGGUGCGUUCUGUCAGUCUGACUGGCAGAAACAUGCUAAGGGUGGGAGUGCUCCUUGGAGAUCCUCGGUCUGCAGUCUGCAGGUCUCCGGAGUCGGGAAGAAGUAAAGAAUUAGAGAAUUGCAGAAGUAGAAUUUAACAAGAACUUUUACAAUUUUGAUGUGCAAGGAAACUUUCUUUGGCGUUACUGGCGCAAGGUGCCUUUGGACCUUGUUUUCGUAUGGAAGGGUCAGCCCUGUCCACGUGGCGAGGGGGCGUCAGCACCGGAGUCCGGGGAGCAGCCGGCUCAUCCCUGACAAGGUGUGUCUCCUGCCCGUUCCCUGCCGGUAGUGCUGUGUAAUUCAGGUUUUAAUUUCUGUGUAAAGUAAUUUCUGAUUUCAUUUAUUUUGAGAAUUCUGGUGCAUAACUUUAGGUAAAUUCAUAUUUAGUUUUUGUAGAAUAAAUGGUUGUAAGAAACCUUUUCCUGGACCCUCUUAAAGCGGCCCAGCUUUACCACUGAGCGUAGUUCAUAUUUUAUAUGGUGUCGAAUUUAGUAUUUCGGGAAACAUUAAAUGAAACCUUUCUGUAGGCAAGAGUUUAUUUAUAAUUAAUAAAGUUAUAAAAUGUGA